UUUCAAUCAUGUAGUUAACCCACU
This 24-nucleotide microRNA is filed under the name Lonicera japonica. Its description in RNAcentral is "u1760353". The record is from RNAcentral. Lineage: Eukaryota; Viridiplantae; Streptophyta; Magnoliopsida; Dipsacales; Caprifoliaceae.